Molecule: non-coding RNA, 30 nt
Filed under: Rattus norvegicus (Norway rat)
Lineage: Eukaryota; Metazoa; Chordata; Mammalia; Rodentia; Muridae
Source: RNAcentral
UGAGCACAGUGACCUAAGCUUGAUGCUUCG